CCCUGAUUAGCUUAGCUGGCAGAGCGCUUCACUGAAAAUGGAGAGGUCCCGGGUUCGAUACCUGGACCAGGCG
Non-coding RNA from Ixodes scapularis (black-legged tick), 73 nucleotides. NCBI's taxonomy places the organism in Eukaryota, Metazoa, Arthropoda, Arachnida, Ixodida, Ixodidae. The record is from Rfam.